UAAGUGGCCUGAUUCUUAGGAUA
RNAcentral lists this non-coding RNA (23 nucleotides) under Cricetulus griseus (Chinese hamster). The record is from RNAcentral. Lineage: Eukaryota; Metazoa; Chordata; Mammalia; Rodentia; Cricetidae.